CAGCAACGGCGUUUUUCCUCGCAACUUCUCGUUUUAACAGGCACGCCUAGAAAUAACUUAGGGUUAGUGGAGAAUAGGCACAGAUGAUUAUAUUCAAGGUUUAAUAACCGUAUUAUCCUAUAGAAGAAAUAUUGGCUGCUGAAUAUUUGCUUGAAGAAUUCAGGUCUGAUUUAAUAGAGAUGGUACUGGAUAAAUUGAGACCAGAAAAUGUUCAAGUUGCAAUAGUUUCCAAGUCUUUUGAAGGAAAAACUGAUUGAACAGAAGAUUGGUAUGGAACACAGUACAAUCAGGAAG
Molecule: long non-coding RNA, 294 nt
Organism: Tyto alba (common barn owl)
Lineage: Eukaryota; Metazoa; Chordata; Aves; Strigiformes; Tytonidae
Exons: 3
Source: RefSeq, a predicted model, not a curated record